AAAAAAGGUCUCCCAGCAGAACGCCCGCCGCACCAGAGAAAGGCGACCCGCCGGCGACCUCCUCCCGCGGGCGACCUCGGCCGGACGAUUCGAGGUCCGGCUGCGCCUCAGCUGAUCUCUCCACGUACUCCCCCAGCAUAACUAACUGCGUCUGGAGACGAGCGAGGGAAGGGAGUGGCGCCACCGGCGACCUCGGCCCACCGGAAGCCACCGAGGGUUGGUCCUGUUCCCAUUCCUGAAUCGCAAUGUGCAGAUGCCCAAAGGCUGCUGCUAUCCCCGGCGCUGGACAGCAACGUAUCCAAGGUGCUCGAUGACGACAGCUUCCUCAUUGAGAUGAUGGAUCGUCCUUCAGUUCCUGAACGCGUCGAUCCCAUUCCAAGCAUGACAUGUGUGGAUGCCAAGAGGUUGCGGUGUUCUGCAAUGCCAGCCAACCUAGUACCCAAGGUCCUCGAUGAUGACAAUACUAAUUCCUGGCCGGCGGCGGUGCCCCCGCUGGAAGACGAGAAUCUCCUCCAUGAGAUCUUCCUCCGCCUCCCUCCAAAGCCAUCCUCGCUUCCCAGUGCCUCCCUCAUCUGCAAGCGCUGGCGCACCAUCCUUUCUGACACCCAAUUCCUCGGCCGCUUUCGCAAACACCACCAGAAGGCCCUGCUUCUUGGCUUCUUCGUAGGGAUGGCCUUGAGAGGAGACGCCAUCUUCACUCCUGUCCUGGAGCCUCUUGAUCGCAUCCCCUCUACAAGAUCUGGAAGUUCACUGGUUGCUGCCAUGGCCUUGCUGUCCUAGUCAAUCCAUCACGGGGCAAGAUUGCUGUGUGGGAUCCCCUCACUGGCCAACAUCACCGUGUGACUUUUCCACCAGGACUGGACACCAAACGUCCGGGAUACUUUCAGUCUACGGUGUUGUGCGCUGAUGCCAAACAUGGGCAUGUGCAUGGAGACUGCUUCUUGAGCCCAUUUAAAUUGGUUUUAAUCUGUGACAUGUACAAGGAGGCAAUCGUUUCUCUCUACGACUCGGUGUCUGGUGUAUGGACAAAUUUUGUCUCAACGGCGACUACUGAUACAACUUUUAUUACAAGGCCCAGCAUCCUUGUCGGAAAUGCAGUAUACUGGUUGUUUUAUGGAGGUGACAUCCUUGUGUUUGAUCUUGAAAGGAAAACCCUUGGUGUGAUCAAGAUGCCAUUAGACAACCAUACUACCAACGACGGGUGUUUUCACAUCUUACGGAUGGAGGAUGGUGGACUUGGCCUUGCUGUUUUGUCUGAAUUGACCAUAAAAUUAUGGGAGAGGAAAUUAAACUAUGAUGGUGUUGUCGAAUGGGUAAUACAGAAAACAAUUCCACUGCAGGGGAUUCUUCCACGGUGUAAUGCCGGCGAAACUGUAAUUUUCGUGGGGUAUAAUGAGGAGACAAAUGUGAUUGUUCUGUCUACCAUAAUUGGCAACUUCAUGCUUCAACUUGACUCGAUGCAGACCAGGCAUAUUAUUAAAAGAUGUCACAUGUCUUAUGACAUCUUUUAUCCAUACACUAAUUUCUAUACCGCAGGGAGAGGAGUUGGAUGGAAGUGGUUGGAUCUGAAACUGUGAACACAUGAAAUCUGCUAAUGUGGUAUGCUACUUGAACAAGUGAGGUAUCUAGAGCUAAAACUCGGGCUGCUGAGGUGCAGAAAUGGUACUUACUGUAGGUUCUUCCAUUUUGUAUGCUGUGGCAAUAUGUUAUCGACAGUGGAACUUUCACUAUAUGUACCAAGUAUUUAGGUUCUUCUACUUCUAUGUGACAUACUGACGUUGCCUAUGAACUUUCACUAUAUGCACAAAGUAUGUAAUGUGUUGGUUACCUGACAUCUGUAGACAUUAGUUGUAUUUGUAAUGCAUGCCUCUGGUACAUGGUCUUUGUGAUGUUAGCCUACUUCUUGUUGAGCAGUAGCUACUUGGUUAAGGUUUUUCUGAAGUGCAAUGGCAGAAGCAAGCCAAGAGAGUGCUCUACUAAAAAAAUAGACUGUUCUGAUGCUUUUGUUUUACCCUGAACAUGUAUAUUCCUUCAAUUGAAAAGAGUGCUUUAGUUUAAGAAAAUUCAUGAUUUAUACAGCUAGGGUGUCAAGUGGGAUCCCACCUAAAUUUCACUUGUAGUGCAUUUUGCAUUUCGUAGUGUAAAUUUUGACACAAAAAUUUGAACUAGAAAAGACAAAAUACACUAAAAGUGAGAUCCCACCAGGAUCCCACCUUGACACCUUAUUUAUUCUCGAGUAGUAUCCAACUCUGUAUCUGCUGUCAAAAAUUUAUCCGUUCUGAAUUGAAUAUGUACUACGAAUUGUUUCGUAUUUACCAUCUUCGACACUUUUCCUUUAAGUUGCUGCAACAAGUUCAUUUUCAGGGAAACCAAGAGACUCUUGAGAACAGUAUCUUCUCGUGCAGGGAAAGAAAGUGGUCCUUUCUAAGUGCAAAACAGUUUAUGCUUUUAAAAAUAGUGCUCCUACACUUAUAUUAUGGCUUGUGUUUUGGUCUGAAUGUGUGUAUGCAUAGGUAAAUGAUACACAUGGGCUGCACCUUUCUAAGUGGCAAAGAGUAUUUAACACAGGCAGCCUCUCGUAUGAAAUGCGAAGGAAAUCUCAGAUGACUUGGGCAAAUGGACAAUGUUACAGGCAUCGGCACUUGGCACAUACGAGACUACAUGUGAAGAACCAAGGGUGUCAGAAACGCCUUGGAUUUGUUUCCUGGCAUCUUGUUUGUAGCCAUUCACAAGUUUAUUGUGUCCUAGAUUGGGAUGUUAUAUGUGUGUGGACAAGAUUUCAGCAAGAAAUGUGGCCACGAUGGCGGUAUCUGUGUCCACGACGGCGGGAGUUGUGGCCUCGGCGACAGGAGUGGUGUCUGGUAUGGUCUCGGGCAAGGGGGGCACCGUGGUCUCCAUGGGUCGAACUAGGGCACCGGUGGCGACUGGAAGAGAAUGGGGAGGGGGUGUGUGGCUGGCUGGAGGGCCCGGGACGAACAUAUAUUCCUGUGACGUGGAUGUGCGAGCUGGCCGCUAGGCCGCAAAACUGUCCCAAAAAUGAGGGGAAAAUGUGCCAAGAUGGGUGUGUCUGUGGGGCGCGGUAUGUUUAUGUGUCGCCAUUGGGACUCGCAUUUUAUCCCCGCGGGGCCUGCCGUUGGAGAUGGCAUUACAUUUGGUGUCCUGCGGUGCAUCUGGUCAUUGAGAAAUUAACAAGCUAGUUGGCCACUGCAUCUACAUCUAUGUAUG
Lolium perenne is the source of this 3225-nucleotide long non-coding RNA. RefSeq lists it as uncharacterized. The record is from RefSeq and is a predicted model, not a curated record. Lineage: Eukaryota; Viridiplantae; Streptophyta; Magnoliopsida; Poales; Poaceae.